This 31-nucleotide non-coding RNA is filed under the name Homo sapiens (human). Lineage: Eukaryota; Metazoa; Chordata; Mammalia; Primates; Hominidae. The record is from RNAcentral.
UGCAAUGGGAGCAGGGUCCUGUCCCCACGGU